UAUUGGGAGAGUCUCCCAGCCAGCCAGGCUGAGAUCCGGGCCGGGGAAGCCACUGGCCUCGGCCCAGUGCCUACGCUUCCAGGCUGUGGAAGAGCCCCGGGGGCUGGCUUUUCCUCCCCUGGGAAGCCGAGCUCCCGGGAACAGCUCUGGGUGGCAGAGAGCUCCGGGAGCCAGCUCCGCGCGCGGUGUAGCUGCUAGCCGCCUUAUGUUGGACGAGGUGUGGUCUUCCCUUCAGGCUGCCUGAGGCAAGCCAGCUUCAAGCAUUCCAGGGGAAGCGUGAGUCCUCCUCGACCCUGUGGGGGCACCUGGAGGCUUUGAUGGGGCAGCCAGGCCAGGCUUGGGGGCAUGCCCAGCAAUGCAGCGCGCUUCUUUGCAGUACAGUAGUUGGGAGCCCUGGUUAGUCCGGCUUCUGCAGAAACCAACUCAAGAAUCCAGAGUCAUCCCAGCCUGGAUGGAAGCCUCCCAGAGUGGCGGGGAAAUUCUCCUGAGGUUGAGAGCUUCCCCAGCUCUCAACUCGGGGUGGAGCGGGGGUCUUCCUCCGGGAAUGACUAAUGAAUAUUGCUGUUGUUGUUGCUGCUGCUGCUGCUGGUGAUGAUGGUGGUGGUGGGCACCUAGUGAGGCUUCUGCAAAUUCCAGGAGAUGCUUCAGUUCUCCUGACAGGACACAUUCUUGAGUCGCACUUGAGGUAUCUUCUGGGAUGGGUGCAGGAUUUUCCAUGUGAAGCCAGGUGGAAAAGAAGGGAAGAGAGCUCCAGGACAGAGAACAGUUCUAUAGUACUCUCUUGAGUCUGGGGAGGACCCAUGUGGGAAGAGAUAAGCGAUUGACGGAGAUUUGGAACCCAGACAACUUAGGGCUGGAGAUGUCCAAGACUGAGUUAGAGCUCUUGAGAGAGUCACACAGCACCUCACUGUCAGUCAUGGGGGAGAGGUGGAGGCUGGAAAAGCGGGAGCACCAUGACUGUUCCAGUAUGGUCCUUGAGAAAAGGUUCUCUCUCUCUCUGACUUGGUUAAGACCUUCUGGCAGUAGGUCCUAAAGUCAAUUUAAGAGGUAAUGAAGGGAGUUGAGGGUCUUGAUGAUGGCACAGAGGACCACAAUUAGAACAUUCUAGUUUCUGGUCCGUACUAAUGGACUCUGGAGAAGAUCAAAACUGUGUAUAGGGAGUCAGGGGUAACCUGCUUUGUGACUGCUCAUUUGGGGUGAAUCCUUCAGCUUAUCCCACCCCUGAAAGUGGGUGAUGUUCAGACUCCUGGGAUAGCUGCUUCGUCGGCCUGGGAAUAUUUUAUGGGGCCUAUGAAUCCGUAUCCAACGUGGUCUGCCUGCAGUCAACAUUUUUCUGCUGCAUUUCCCAAGACCUUCUCUCCACUGGGGAUUUGUGCAGCGAAAUACCUGCUUAUUGCUCUUUCUUCCCUUCUCCAUCUGGACUGCACCUGGUGUUCUGAACUCUGAUGUUUAUUCCUUGGCACCUUGAUGUUUGGUUAAGACGUCCUACGGCUGCACAGGGGUGCCCCUGUGAAUGUGUGGACCAAUGGGCUGCGUGAUUCUAGGGAGUGAAACAAAGACUCUUAUAGAAAGAACGCCACCAACCAGGAAGGCAGUCCUAUUAAACAGCUUGUGACAGCCUCCCAUGCCCAAGCGCUCCCUUGCUUCCCGUGCUGAGGCCCUGGAAGCAUAAAGAUGGAGCAGAUUCCUUCGUGUCCAGUAGGGGGCGCAAAAGGUACCUAGCUCAGGACCACUGACUUUCUCACUUCUUGCCCUUCACAGGCUGUAGCAACUUAAUGCUUUUAAGGCAGCUCAGGCUACGGCCUUCAACCAUCAUCAUCGUAAUUGGAGUCCUUCUACCACAGACUUCCUGGACUUCAGGUGGUCCUGUGACCUCAAGUGCAAUGGGGCAGGUGCAAGAACAACAUUCCAAGGAGACAGACCUAGUACACAGCCCCACCCGCCCUCAGGCAUCGUUUCUCUGUGCUUGGUGCAGCUGAAGAUGCUGAGAUCCAGACAGGAGAGGGAACCAGCCAGGAUCGCGCUGCAGGCAAGUGGUCUGCUCCCUCCUGAGACCAUCUUACUCAGAUUCCUCCAGAGUUGUGAAAAUUAAAUGUGAGCUGUGAAAACAAAAAUAAAUAGAAAAUAUUUAUAGAGA
This is a long non-coding RNA of Callithrix jacchus (white-tufted-ear marmoset), 2137 nucleotides long. RefSeq lists it as uncharacterized. Lineage: Eukaryota; Metazoa; Chordata; Mammalia; Primates; Cebidae. The record is from RefSeq and is a predicted model, not a curated record.